CCGGCUCGAUGGCUUUAUGACA
RNAcentral lists this microRNA (22 nucleotides) under Equus caballus (horse). Its description in RNAcentral is "eca-miR-9183". Lineage: Eukaryota; Metazoa; Chordata; Mammalia; Perissodactyla; Equidae. The record is from miRBase by way of RNAcentral.